UUUUCUAAAAUUCAUUUUCUGAUUCAGAUCUACAUUUUUUAACUUUUCUAGACCAGGUAACCAUUUUAUUUAGUUGGAUUUUAAAAUUUGGAUAAUCCAAUUCGGCAUCUGGAUCAUGUUCAGAUCCAAAUAAAUCUGAACUAAUUCAUUAAGUUCUUCCCAGUACCAAAAUUUGAAAUUCAUAAAUCCCGGAAGUCCUUCCGGUACAAUCAAUCUUAAAUCAUUUUCUCACUUCUUUCUUUAUACUUUAUCAAGAACGUUGUGGUGCCAUGAUUCUCGUUCGGUUCAUCAGGAUUUUGUUGGAGAAAACGUACGAAGCCACUACUGAGCUAGUGAAUGUGGCGGGAUUCGCUGGAGAUUAAGAUUAAGGUUAAGUUACUACGCGUGUUGGAAAGAGGUUGAUCGUUGAUGUACAUAUUGGGAAAGGGGACACUUGGAAUCAUCAAAGUGGGUACAACUUGAGGAGCCGAAUAUACCUCAACCUGAUAAGGCGAAAUAGCCAAUCAUGACACACACCAAUGUGCUAGUCCGAAUAUACUCCAACCUAAGAGGUUCAUAGCGCACGCACAUGUCAGGAAAGUAAUAUGAAGACAGGCGAGGAUGUCGUGAUGACUGAGGAAUAGGCCUUAAUGACCUCGACACUAGGGCAGAGGACACUUCUGCUGAAUGAACUAAUAAUAAGUGCUCUGAAUGGAAUGGUAAGAAAGGAAUUAGGAUUAAUUAAGCAUAGUUAGUAAAGCCUAAAACUAACUAAAUAGUGCAAACCCUAGGCCCAUAGGGUUUGGCCCAUUAAAGUAGUAUAAAAGGCAUUAUUCACGAGGUAAAAUGACUAUGCUAUUUUUUACUAUUACUAUCAUUUAUUGCUCUGAUACUGACUUGAGCAUCGGAGUGGCUUUGCAGGCCUCCCGCCAACGAAACUCUUCAUCGGAAGGAGAUACUCAGGUUCCUGAAAGGAGAUACUCAGGCUCUUGGGAGGAGAUAUUUAGGCUCCUGGACUUAGAAACUUAAGCGAAGAAGGUGGACGUGUGCAUUUAAAAGGUUCAUUGGUCCCUACAUAACUUGUGUUCGCGGGUACAUUUGUAUUCGGUAGGAACAAUUGAUAUUUAAUUUGUGUUCUCUAUAGUUUUGUGAAAACUAUAAUGAAUUUAUAUGAGAACUAAUCAUUGAGAAGUUGUGUAAGUGGGAAAUAGUUGGUCUAAAGUUCUUCGGAUAAACCAUCUUAGUGAUUAUGUAGACAAACAUGUUAGAUUUAACCCUUCUAAUGAAAGAGACGUGUUUUCAAAUCAACAUGCAAAUUUUUUUCACAUACUUAUAUAUAGGUGUCUUUAACUCACAUUUUUACAUAUUACUUAUGAUUGGAUUAAGACAGUGAAAAUUUAGGAUUAAGUAUCACUCUUUUAUACAAAAUAUAGAUCACCAUAGGAUUGGAUUUUCUAAUUCUUAUUUUGUUGGGAUUAGUUAUGAAUGCGUAAUCUUGUGUUUCCCUUCUUUACUUUUCACUUAUGAUAAUCUUUUAUCUAAUUCGAUCUCCAUUUCUUUUUGUUGCAUAAAUAGUCAUGUGCAUCUUCAAAGACAUCUUUUGGGACAAUAAUGCAUAUUUUACUUUUUAACUCACGUUAUAUGCCUCGGUUGUCCAAGAACCAAAGCAUAUAAUGGCACGGUGGCAAUUUUGCGAUUCCAAGCUACUUUUAUGCCUCGAUUCAGAGAAAACCCGAAGUAAAAGAGGGUUAUAGGCUUCGGUUCACUAAAAAUCGGUGCCAAACGCCAUUAUAUGCUUCUGUUCCAAAGACCUGAAGCAAAAAACGUGGCUGAAUAUUUCAAAAAUGCCACUAGCCAUUACGUCUUUGGCCUCGGGUGAAACUCAACCUGUACCAAAUAGGGUCAUAUGCCUCGGUUAUUAAUUGGGAAAUGGUAAUAUAUAUUUGAAUUAAAACAAAUACUUUGCAAUGUACUAAAGUUUGGUGUACUAAAUUUGUCUUUCUAUAUACUAACUUAAGUUAAUGU
Long non-coding RNA from Vigna unguiculata (cowpea), 2004 nucleotides. RefSeq lists it as uncharacterized. Lineage: Eukaryota; Viridiplantae; Streptophyta; Magnoliopsida; Fabales; Fabaceae. The record is from RefSeq and is a predicted model, not a curated record.